Molecule: ribosomal RNA, 465 nt
Filed under: uncultured bacterium
Lineage: Bacteria
Description: partial 16S ribosomal RNA
Rfam family: Bacterial small subunit ribosomal RNA
Source: RNAcentral
CUACGGGCGGCAGCAGUGAGGAAUUUUGCGCAAUGGGGGGAACCCUGACGCAGCAACGCCGUGUGUGUGAAGAAGGCCUUUGGGUCGUAAAGCUCUGUCAACUGGGAAGAAGUUACUAUGCUUAAAUAGAGUGCAGUAUUGACGGUACCAGUGGAGGAAGCGUCGGCUAACUCCGUGCCAGCAGCCGCGGUAACACGGGGGACGCAAGCGUUAUUCGGAAUUAUUGGGCGUAAAGGGCGCGUAGGCGGUCUUGUCGGUCAGGUGUGAAAGCCCGGGGCUCAACCCCGGACGUGCACUUGAAACAGCAAGGCUUGAGUACGGGAGAGGAAAGCGGAAUUCCUGGUGUAGAGGUGAAAUGCGUAGAUAUCAGGAGGAACACCGAUGGCGAAGGCAGCUUUCUGGACCGAAACUGACGCUGAGGCGCGAAGGCGUGGGUAGCGAACGGGAUUAGAUACCCGAGUAGUC